GACGAACGCUGGCGGCGUGCUUAACACAUGCGAGUCGAACGGAAAGGCCCUGCUUUUGUGGGGUGCUCGAGUGGCGAACGGGUGAGUAACACGUGAGUAACCUGCCCUUGACCUUGGGAUAACUUCAGGAAACUGGGGCUAAUACCGGAUAGGAGCUCCUGCUGCAUGGUGGGGGUUGGAAAGUUUCGGCGGUUGGGGAUGGACUCGCGGCUUAUCAGCUUGUUGGUGGGGUAGUGGCUUACCAAGGCUUUGACGGGUAGCCGGCCUGAGAGGGUGACCGGCCACAUUGGGACUGAGAUACGGCCCAGACUCCUACGGGAGGCAGCAGUGGGGAAUAUUGCACAAUGGGCGGAAGCCUGAGGCAGCAACGCCGCGUGCGGGAUGACGGCCUUCGGGUUGUAAACCGCUUUCGCCUGUGACGAAGCGUGAGUGACGGUAAUGGGUAAAGAAGCACCGGCUAACUACGUG
This 468-nucleotide ribosomal RNA is filed under the name uncultured bacterium. RNAcentral describes it as "partial 16S ribosomal RNA". It matches the Rfam family "Bacterial small subunit ribosomal RNA", at positions 28 to 507 of the family's 1533-position model. The record is from RNAcentral.